Molecule: ribosomal RNA, 274 nt
Filed under: uncultured bacterium
Lineage: Bacteria
Description: partial 16S ribosomal RNA
Rfam family: Bacterial small subunit ribosomal RNA
Source: RNAcentral
AUACGGAGGGUGCGAGCGUUAAUCGGAAUUACUGGGCGUAAAGCGUACGUAGGCGGUUUGUUAAGUUAGAUGUGAAAGCCCCGGGCUUAACCUGGGAACUGCAUUUAAAACUGGCAGACUAGAGUUUGAUAGAGGAGAGUGGAAUUUCAGGUGUAGCGGUGAAAUGCGUAGAGAUCUGAAGGAACAUCAGUGGCGAAGGCGACUCUCUGGAUUAAAACUGACGCUGAGGUACGAAAGCGUGGGUAGCAAACAGGAUUAGAAACCCUAGUAGUCC